CAAGUCCUCAUGCCUUACGGGCUGGGCUACACACGUGCUACAAUGGCGGUGACAAUG
This 57-nucleotide ribosomal RNA is filed under the name uncultured bacterium. RNAcentral describes it as "partial 16S ribosomal RNA". The record is from RNAcentral.